RNAcentral lists this transfer RNA (69 nucleotides) under Phaner parienti. Its description in RNAcentral is "tRNA-Asp". It matches the Rfam family "tRNA". From Rfam's summary of the family: Transfer RNA (tRNA) molecules are approximately 80 nucleotides in length. Lineage: Eukaryota; Metazoa; Chordata; Mammalia; Primates; Cheirogaleidae. The record is from RNAcentral.
AAGACAUUAGUAAAAUAAUUACAUAACUUUGUCAGAGUUAAAUUACAGGUUAAAUUCCCGUAUAUCUUA